UUGCUGAGUUUUUGCAUUACUGUGGGAAAUUUGUGUGCAAGGCUUGGGCCAAAAUUAUAUAUGAUCCUUCUUUUAUCAAGGCACACCUCCUUCAAUCAAAGGAUGGCUUUUUCAUCCAAACAUUUGGUAAGCCAUAUCAUUCAUGUUUCCUUGAGUUUAAUGAGGGAGAAUUCAAACAACACACCUAAAUUGUCAUGGACAUAUGGUCUCUAGUUGUGGUGGCUUAUCACUGUUUUCAGGCUCAUAUCUUGAGAGAUUUCUUUUUGUUGGGGAUCAUGUGACACAAGAGUAUAAGAACCUACAUUUUCCUAUUGCGAAAGGUCAUCUUUUGCUCUCUUGUCAUAUUGGUUACAUUUCUCGCACUGAGGAGUACAAGGUGGUUUGCCCUUGUGAAAUAUCAGGUGGAGAAUAUAGAUGGUUUGUAUUGUCUGUGGAUAAUAAUAACUUGUCAUGGAGAAGAAUGGAGACUUCACUAAAAGGAAUCAGUUUUAUUGUGAUGAUAGAGCUUUAGUGUCUGUUGGAGGCGCUAUUUAUUACUCUCAAAUGAACAGUCAUAUUUUUGCUGUUGACCUUUGUGAUGAUACUUCUCUCUCAAUUCAAGUUCCAAAUGAAUUUGUUGGGAGGUGUUAUAGUCUUCUUGAGCUGGGGAAUAGUUUAUCUUUCAUUGUGAGACAUUCGUCAGAGGUUCAUGUAUGCAUUUUAAAGGACUUACAUUGCCAUGAAUGGGCUAAACUUUACAAGGUUAGAGAAGCAAUAGAUGGACCGAAUUUUUUAUGUGAGAGUUUCAUACCUGUUGGUUGGCUGGAUGAUGGCCAAAUCUUGGUCUUCAUUCACUUUGAAAAGUUGGUUGUGACUUACAAUGUGAAAACAGGAGAGGCAAGAUCCUUUGAUGUUUUCAGCACUGAUUUCAUACGGAAACACACCAACAGCCUUGUUUCAUGAAAGCAUUUAGAAGGCAAGGACAAGAGAGGAGUCUCAUCAACAUAAAAUGUUGGCAGAAGCGAAGCUGCAACAUUUGGAGUUUGAAUUCUAUUUCUUUGCAUGACGCCAGAGUUUAUAAAAGAUUAUGUAUACCAACUUGGGGUUAACUUGCUUUGAACCAUUAUCGGUGUCCAAGUUGUGCGUACAAUUUUCUUACAGUGUGUGCUUUUUUUGUUUUUGUAUUUUUGCAACAGUUUGUUAUAAAUAAGGCUUGGAAGUUGAUUACGAAAAUAGUAAGGGAUGAAUGAAGUUUGGGCAGGGUAUUGGCCCAAACAGUUGAAGACAAGUGGUUGGUAACUUUAAAGUGUCUUUGGUUUUGUGUGGUGGUUUACUUUUGUUUCUGUUGUGUGUUACCUAGUUCAUAAAACAAUUCUGUAGAUUUAUGAAGUUACCUUUUGCCCUGUGUAUGCAAUAUAGUGAUGAACAUGGCGUUUGUGGGU
This is a non-coding RNA of Camellia sinensis, 1421 nucleotides long. The record is from RefSeq and is a predicted model, not a curated record. Lineage: Eukaryota; Viridiplantae; Streptophyta; Magnoliopsida; Ericales; Theaceae.